Molecule: ribosomal RNA, 420 nt
Filed under: Hannaella oryzae
Lineage: Eukaryota; Fungi; Basidiomycota; Tremellomycetes; Tremellales; Bulleribasidiaceae
Description: LSU rRNA
Rfam family: Eukaryotic large subunit ribosomal RNA
Source: RNAcentral
CAGUGCUCUGUGAUACACUUUGAACGAGUGGAGUUGUUUGGGAAUUCAGCUCAAAAUGGGUGGUAAAUUCCAUCUAAACAAAAAUAUAGGUGAGUUCCCGAUAAAGAACAAGUACCGUGAGGGAAAGAUGAAAAGCAAUUUCGAAAGAGAAUUAAACAAAACCUGAAAUUGUUGAAAGGGAACAGAUUGAAGUCAGUCAUGAAGGGAGGUUUCAGAAGUCUCUGCUAGUGUAUUACCUUUAGGCGGGUCAACAUCAGUUUUUGACGGUGGAAAAAGGCAUGAGGAAAGUAGCAUCUCCGGAUGUGUUAUAGCCUCGUUUUGCAUACACUGUUCGAGACUGAGGAAGGCAGCUCGCCUUUAUGGCCGGGGUUUGCCCACUUUUGAGCUUAGGAAGUGACAUAAUGGCUUAAACGACCCGUC